RNAcentral lists this long non-coding RNA (916 nucleotides) under Cavia porcellus (domestic guinea pig). RNAcentral's name for it is "lncRNA (ENSCPOG00000040774.1)". Lineage: Eukaryota; Metazoa; Chordata; Mammalia; Rodentia; Caviidae. The record is from RNAcentral.
UGGGGACCAAUGUAGGAACUGGUGUGUUGGGAAAUAGCUCUUUUGCUUCCUCUAAAACAAAGACAGAGUGGAUGCCUGCCCAUUGCAUCUUUGCACCAGUGAGAGCUCCAGGGUCUCUUCUCCUCCCUCACCUAGCAGGGUGGGCAGGAAGUGCACCAGGAUUCUGACACCCAGGGCUGCCUUCUCCAAGUAGAGGACAACCAACCAAGCGUAGAGGAUAUGGUGUGUCUGGCACACGGGAGGCACAAAUGCUGAGAAAGCUCCACUCUCGAGGCCAAGGCACCUGCUGCCUAAGGCUGACGCUGAUGAGAUGCAAGAAAGUUCUCCAGCAACGAGCAGUAAGAGCAGUGCAUGCUGGGGAGUAGUCAAGGGGCCACCAAGAGGAAAUGUGACUUCACUUCAUUGCCAGUGGACAGAACAUUCUACCUGUGUUACAUGAGGAGAACUGGAGUACAUGUUAGCAGCUGGUUUGACACUUUAAUUUCAAGGUGGAAGGAAACUGAUCACAAAUCUCUGAUUCCAAUCUCAAACCAGUAGGUGCUUAAUAUUUCUUAGUUUGAUUAAUGCACACUUGAACUGCAUGGAUUCUAUUAAAAAUUUAGGGUCCCAAGGCUGGGGAUUUAGCUCAGCGGCAUAAGUGCCGGAUUGCAAGCACAAGGUCAAUCCAUUGUCAUCCAAUCUCCUUCAUCUUUUUCAAGGUACUAUAUGGGGGUUUGUCAAAAUUCCAAACAACUAUGCAACUUCUUUUUAACACAUAUCAAGGAGGAGGUCCCCUGUUGGGGUCCAAAAAUGCCAGAGCCUUUCCAGAAUAGUGCAGCUUCAAGUCUUGGGAUUAGCAGGGCAGGCUUGAGUCCCAGGCCUGGUGGUCGUGCUGGCUCCUAGAAGAGCUGCCAUUUGUGGAACAGCUCUGAAUUGC